This 497-nucleotide ribosomal RNA is filed under the name uncultured bacterium. RNAcentral's name for it is "partial 16S ribosomal RNA". It matches the Rfam family "Bacterial small subunit ribosomal RNA", at positions 28 to 507 of the family's 1533-position model. The record is from RNAcentral.
GAUGAACGCUGGCGGCGUGCCUAAUACAUGCAAGUCGAGCGAACAGACGAGGAGCUUGCUCCUCUGACGUUAGCGGCGGACGGGUGAGUAACACGUGGAUAACCUACCUAUAAGACUGGGAUAACUUCGGGAAACCGGAGCUAAUACCGGAUAAUAUAUUGAACCGCAUGGUUCAAUAGUGAAAGACGGUUUUGCUGUCACUUAUAGCUGGAUCCGCGCCGCAUUAGCUAGUUGGUAAGGUAACGGCUUACCAAGGCAACGAUGCGUAGCCGACCUGAGAGGGUGAUCGGCCACACUGGAACUGAGACACGGUCCAGACUCCUACGGGAGGCAGCAGUAGGGAAUCUUCCGCGAUGGGCGAAAGCCUGACGGAGCAACGCCGCGUGAGUGAUGAAGGUCUUCGGAUCGUAAAACUCUGUUAUUAGGGAAGAACAAAUGUGUAAGUAACUAUGCACGUCUUGACGGUACCUAAUCAGAAAGCCACGGCUAACUACGUG